UAGGGAAUAUUGGACAAUGGGGGCAACCCUGAUCCAGCCAUGCCGCGUGAGUGAAGAAGGCCCUCGGGUUGUAAAGCUCUUUUGUCCGGAAAGAAAAGCAUUCGGUGAAUACCCGGAUGUUCUGACGGUACCGGAAGAAUAAGCACCGGCUAACUUCGUGCCAGCAGCCGCGGUAAUACGAAGGGUGCAAGCGUUACUCGGAAUUACUGGGCGUAAAGCGUGCGUAGGUGGUUGUUUAAGUCUGAUGUGAAAGCCCUGGGCUCAACCUGGGAAUGGCAUUGGAAACUGGGCAGCUAGAGUGCGGUAGAGGGUAGUGGAAUUCCCGGCGUAGCAGUGAAAUGCGUAGAGAUCGGGAGGAACAUCUGUGGCGAAGGCGACUGCCUGGACCAGCACUGACACUGAGGCACGAAAGCGUGGGGAGCAAACA
This 427-nucleotide ribosomal RNA is filed under the name uncultured bacterium. Its description in RNAcentral is "bacterial SSU rRNA". It matches the Rfam family "Bacterial small subunit ribosomal RNA", at positions 355 to 774 of the family's 1533-position model. The record is from RNAcentral.